This 567-nucleotide ribosomal RNA is filed under the name uncultured bacterium. RNAcentral describes it as "partial 16S ribosomal RNA". It matches the Rfam family "Bacterial small subunit ribosomal RNA", at positions 355 to 938 of the family's 1533-position model. The record is from RNAcentral.
UGGGGAAUAUUGCACAAUGGGCGAAAGCCUGAUGCAGCAACGCCGCGUGAGUGAUGAAGGCCUUCGGGUUGUAAAAGCUCUGUCUUUUGGGACGAUAAUGACGGUACCAAAGGAGGAAGCCACGGCUAACUACGUGCCAGCAGCCGCGGUAAUACGUAGGUGGCAAGCGUUGUCCGGAUUUACUGGGCGUAAAGGAUGCGUAGGCGGAUUUUUAAGUGAGAUGUGAAAACCCUAAGCUUAACUUGGGGACUGCAUUUCAUACUGGAAAUCUAGAGUGCGGGAGAGGAGAAUGGAAUUCCUAGUGUAGCGGUGAAAUGCGUAGAGAUUAGGAAGAACACCAGUGGCGAAGGCGAUUCUCUGGACCGUAACUGACGCUGAGGCAUGAAAGCGUGGGUAGCAAACAGGAUUAGAUACCCUGGUAGUCCACGCCGUAAACGAUGAGUACUAGGUGUAGGAGGUAUCGACCCCUUCUGUGCCGCAGUUAACACAAUAAGUACUCCGCCUGGGAAGUACGAUCGCAAGAUUAAAAAGCUUUAAAGGAAUUGACGGGGGUCAUAGCUGUUUCCU